GCCUCUGUGGAUUAGUGGUAGAUCACCUCAGAUUUAUAGAUAUGUGCUCAAUUGAUUAUGGGGAGCUGUGGGUUCGAAUCCCAUCAGAGGCA
Mycena leptocephala is the source of this 92-nucleotide non-coding RNA. The record is from the annotation of a GenBank genome assembly. NCBI's taxonomy places the organism in Eukaryota, Fungi, Basidiomycota, Agaricomycetes, Agaricales, Mycenaceae.